ACGAGUUAGGGUGUCCUCUCACGGCGCCCGACCUCCCAACCCUUUGCCUAACAUUACCUUGUGUUGCUUCGGCGGGCCCGUCUCACGACCGCCGGAGGGCCGUAAAACGUCCUCUGGCCCGUUGCCCGCCGGUGGCCCAUACCUACAAACUCUGAACUAAGCGUGUCUUUGUCUGAGUAACAUGACCAAAAAUCAUAAACA
This 201-nucleotide unclassified non-coding RNA is filed under the name uncultured fungus. RNAcentral's name for it is "sequence contains ITS1, 5.8S rRNA gene". The record is from RNAcentral. Lineage: Eukaryota; Fungi.